AUCGAGGUGACAGUACCCACCUCAAAUGGUGACCAAACACAGGAUUUAGACAAGAGUCAAGAGGAGAUCAAAAAACAUCAUGCCAGCAUCAGUGAGCUGAAAAAGAACUUCAUGGAGUCUGUACCAGAACCACGGCCUAGUGAAUGGGAUAAACGCUUAUCCACUCACUCGCCCUUCCGAACUCUUAACAUCAAUGGGCAAAUCCCCACAGGAGAAGGACCUCCCCUGGUGAAGACACAAACUGUCACCAUCUCAGAUAAUG
This 262-nucleotide small RNA is filed under the name Pan troglodytes (chimpanzee). RNAcentral's name for it is "processed transcript". The record is from RNAcentral. Lineage: Eukaryota; Metazoa; Chordata; Mammalia; Primates; Hominidae.